This 721-nucleotide ribosomal RNA is filed under the name uncultured bacterium. RNAcentral's name for it is "bacterial SSU rRNA". It matches the Rfam family "Bacterial small subunit ribosomal RNA", at positions 594 to 1314 of the family's 1533-position model. The record is from RNAcentral.
UUAAAANUUCGGGGCUUAACCCCGUGAUGGGAUGGAAACUGCUGAUCUAGAGUNUCGGAGAGGAAAGUGGAAUUCCUAGUGUAGCGGUGAAAUGCGUAGAUAUUAGGAAGAACACCAGUGGCGAAGGGGACUUUCUGGACGAAAACUGACGCUGAGGCGCGAAAGCCAGGGGAGCGAACGGGAUUAGAUGCCCCGGUAGUCCUGGCCGUAAACGAUGGGUACUAGGUGUAGGAGGUAUCGACCCCUUCUGUGCCGGAGUUAACGCAAUAAGUACCCCGCCUGGGGAGUACGACCGCAAGGUUGAAACUCAAAGGAAUUGACGGGGGCCCGCACAAGCGGUGGAGUAUGUGGUUUAAUUCGACGCAACGCGAAGAACCUUACCAGGUCUUGACAUUGAUGGACAGAACCAGAGAUGGUUCCUCUUCUUCGGAAGCCAGAAAACAGGUGGUGCAUGGUUGUCGUCAGCUCGUGUCGUGAGAUGUUGGGUUAAGUCCCGCAACGAGCGCAACCCCUAUCUUAUGUUGCCAGCACUUUGGGUGGGGACUCAUGAGAGACUGCCGCAGACAGUGCGGAGGAAGGCGGGGAUGACGUCAAAUCAUCAUGCCCCUUAUGACCUGGGCUACACACGUACUACAAUGGGAGUUAAUAGACGGAAGCGAGAUCGCGAGAUGGAGCAAACCCGAGAAACACUCUCUCAGUUCGGAUCGUAGGCUGCAACUCG